UCAGAGUCUCCAUACCUGACAUAUUAAUGACUCUAAAGCCGGAUCACAGUUGAUUUGGUGGAACCGGUUCUGUUCAGUUCACUGGUCUUUAACCGUCUUCAGGAAAGCGUUUCCUGCUGUGAACAUUGUUCUGUGUUUGUGUUUCUUCUUUAUCUUGUUGUAAAGGUCACGGCUAAACUCUGAAGUUAAUCAACUGCAGCUCUGAACUUUGAUUCGUGCGUCUUGGAAGCAGAAAGAUUCGUGUUGAGUCUGAGUUUCCUCACAACAACCUAUCAGUGCGUUUAUUUAUCGUUCUUUUACAGAACUGAUCCUUCAGCUGAUCAGGUGUUCAGAGGAUUAUUUCAAAUUGAAGCAGCAGAUUUCAUGUCAUUCCUUGAACAACCACACGUCAUGCAGAAAUGAAGAACCUGAGCUCAGCUGAAGGUGUUUCUGUUGACUUGUUGGAUGGUCAGAGCUCACAGCAGUGGAUAUUUAAAGACACAAACACUCAGAAGGAUUUAGUGUUGAGGUGCAGGCUUGCAGUAAACAUGACAUUUGGAGACACAUCGACCUAUAAACAAAUCGCUGCUUUGAUUUAACCUUUCACUUGUUGGACUUCAUCUUUUAAAUCCAUUCAGACUGAAAGAUCACAGCUAGUAUUUGUAGAAAUGCAGAAAUAAAGAAAAUUUUGAAGUUAAAAAAAAAACUGUGAAAGUUCAGUUACCAAAGGACCAGUCCAACAUUUUGUGUGUCUUCAGUCUCUGUUCCCAGUGAUGGUCCUGAUCUGCUGCUUUGGUCGCAGAUGCUGUUCUCAGGUUUGAUUAGACUGACGAGCUGCUCACCUCCAUCUGCAACAGGAGCUCCAGGAAGUACCCUCGUCCAAGCAGCACUAAUGAUUUCCUCUUGUCUCUUUGGUUGUUUGCUAUUCUGAGUUCUUGGAAGUAGAAAUGUAGAGUGUUUCAUCUUCAGACAGUGUCCAGCUGUGAGUAACACCACUAAUCAGGAGGUCUAGAAGGAGUCAUAGUUCCACUAAUCAGGAGGUCUAGAAGGAGUCAUAGUACCACUAAUCAGGAGGUCUAGAAGGAGUCAUAGUUCCACUAAUCAGGAGGUCUAGAAGGAGUCAUAGUUCCACUAAUCAGGAGGUCUAGGAGGAGUCAUAGUUCCACUAAUCAGGAGGUCUAGAAGGAGUCAUAGUUCCACUAAUCAGGAGGUCUAGAAGGAGUCAUAGUUCCACCAAUCAGGAGGUCUAGAAGGAGUCAUAGUUCCACUAAUCAGAGCUCCUAGAAUGACUCCACAGACAGUGAUCUACUUUCUCCAUCAGCUGUAAAAACAGACAUCAGCUGCUUCAGACUUGGUUCAGGGGUUCUCCAUGGAAACCAGAGUUAGUGUGAAGCUCAGACAGUGUGAAGGAACCUUCAGAAGAUCAACCUCUAUGGACGGAGGACUAGAACUAAACCUGGUUGCUGCUCAGAACUAAACUUCCACAUGAAAGUUUACUGUAGAACAUGAGGAUAAUAAUAAUAAUAAUAAUAACUUUAUUUAUAAAGCACCAUUUAUACAAGAAUGCACCUCACAUUGCUUCCCAAUCAUAAAAUACAAACGUUAAAAUCUACUAAAACAUUGCUAUCAUAGUGAAUAAAUCUAAAAGGAGGAAAUGCAAUAAAGAAGCCUGAAUGAAAGAAGAAGAAUCCUGAUGGAUGUUGGAGAACAUUCUUUGGUCAGAGGAAGAUCAAUGAGUUGGGCUCAGAUGGAGUCCAGAUAUUUGGUGAGAACCUGACCAGGACUACCACGGUGGAUGCAUGGUCCUGACAGUGAAGCAUGGAGGUG
Molecule: long non-coding RNA, 1806 nt
Organism: Acanthochromis polyacanthus (spiny chromis)
Lineage: Eukaryota; Metazoa; Chordata; Actinopteri; Pomacentridae
Exons: 3
Source: RefSeq, a predicted model, not a curated record